ACUAACGCUGGCGGCGCGUCUUAAACAUGCAAGUCGAACGGAAAGGCCCCUUCGGGGGUACUCGAGUGGCAAACGGGUGAGUAACACGUAGGUAAUCUGCCCCUUGGCGGGGGAUAACUCGGGGAAACUCGGGCUAAUACCGCAUAAGAUUGUCCGGUCUGCGGACUGGACUCUGAAAGUCUUCGGACACCAGGGGAUGAGCCUGCGGCCAAUUAGCUUGAUGGUAGGGUAAUGGCCUACCAUAGCGACGAUUGGUAGCCGGCCUGAGAGGGUGAUCGGCCACACUGGGACUGAGAUACGGCCCAGACUCCUACGGGAGGCAGCAGUUAAGAAUCUUGCGCAAUGGGGUUACCCCUGACGCAGCGACGCCGCGUGCGGGAUGAAGGCCUUCGGGUUGUAAACCGCAGUAGACAGGGAAGAAGAAAGUGACGGUACCUGUCCGAAGCACCGGCUAACUACGU
This 461-nucleotide ribosomal RNA is filed under the name uncultured bacterium. RNAcentral's name for it is "bacterial SSU rRNA". It matches the Rfam family "Bacterial small subunit ribosomal RNA", at positions 29 to 506 of the family's 1533-position model. The record is from RNAcentral.